UCCGUCGUGAAGAGGGAAACAACCCAGACCGCCAGCUAAGGUCCCAAAGUUAUAGCUAAGUGGGAAACGAUGUGGGAAGGCUCAGACAGCCAGGAUGUUGGCUUAGAAGCAGCCAUCAUUUAAAGAAAGCGUAAUAGCUCACUGGUCGAGUCGGCCUGCGCGGAAGAUUUAACGGGGCUAAGCUAUACACCGAAGCUGCGGCAAUGUGAACUUGUUCAUAUUGGGUAGGGGAGCGUUCUGUAAGCCGUUGAAGGUGCAUUGUAAAGUGUGCUGGAGGUAUCAGAAGUGCGAAUGCUGACAUGAGUAACGAUAAAGGGAGUGAAAACUCCCUCGCCGGAAGAUCAAGGGUUCCUGUCCAACGUUAAUCGGGGCAGGGUAAGUCGACCCCUAAGGCGAGGCCGAAAGGCGUAGUCGAUGGGAAACGGGUUAAUAUUCCCGUACUUCUUAUAAUUGCGAUGGAGGGACGGAGAAGGCUAGGUGAGCCUGGCGACGGUUGUCCAGGUCCAAGUAUGUAGGCUGAUG
This 522-nucleotide ribosomal RNA is filed under the name Photobacterium aquimaris. RNAcentral's name for it is "bacterial LSU rRNA". It matches the Rfam family "Bacterial large subunit ribosomal RNA", at positions 1004 to 1530 of the family's 2925-position model. Lineage: Bacteria; Pseudomonadati; Pseudomonadota; Gammaproteobacteria; Vibrionales; Vibrionaceae. The record is from RNAcentral.